UACAGAGGGUGCGAGCGUUAAUCGGAAUUACUGGGCUUAAAGGGUUUGUAGGCGGCCAUGUAAGUCAGGUGUGAAAUCCCUCGGCUCAACCGAGGAACGGCGCUUGAUACUGCAUGGCUUGAGGGAGACAGGGGUAAGCGGAACUGAUGGUGGAGCGGUGAAAUGCGUUGAUAUCAUCAGGAACACCGGUGGCGAAAGCGGCUUACUGGGUCUCUUCUGACGCUGAGGAACGAAAGCUAGGGUAGCGAACGGG
RNAcentral lists this ribosomal RNA (253 nucleotides) under uncultured bacterium. RNAcentral's name for it is "partial 16S ribosomal RNA". It matches the Rfam family "Bacterial small subunit ribosomal RNA", at positions 524 to 776 of the family's 1533-position model. The record is from RNAcentral.